This 590-nucleotide ribosomal RNA is filed under the name Dothiorella sp. 'aegiceri'. RNAcentral's name for it is "eukaryotic LSU rRNA". The stretch from base 249 to 402 matches the Rfam family "5.8S ribosomal RNA". Lineage: Eukaryota; Fungi; Ascomycota; Dothideomycetes; Botryosphaeriales; Botryosphaeriaceae. The record is from RNAcentral.
AAGUCUUGUGCCAACUUGAGGAAGUAAAAGUCGUAACAAGGUCUCCGUUGGUGAACCAGCGGAGGGAUCAUUGCUGGAACGCGCCCCAGGCGCACCCAGAAACCCUUUGUGAACUCAUACCUCUGCUGUUGCCUCGGCGCAUGCCGGCCCCCCCGGGGGCCCCUCGGAGACGAGGAGCAGGCACGCCGGCGGCCAAGUUAACUCUUGUUUUUACACCGAAACUCUGAGCAACAAAAAAAAUGAAUCAAAACUUUCAACAACGGAUCUCUUGGUUCUGGCAUCGAUGAAGAACGCAGCGAAAUGCGAUAAGUAAUGUGAAUUGCAGAAUUCAGUGAAUCAUCGAAUCUUUGAACGCACAUUGCGCCCUCUGGUAUUCCGGAGGGCAUGCCUGUUCGAGCGUCAUUUCAACCCUCAAGCAGCCUUGCUUGGUGUUGGGGCACUGCUCUUUACCCGAGAGCAGGCCCUGAAAUCUAGUGGCGAGCUCGCCAGGACCCCGAGCGCAGUAGUUAAACCCUCGCUCUGGAAGGCCCUGGCGGUGCCCUGCCGUUAAACCCCCAACUCUUGAAAAUUGACCUCGAUCAGAGAUCCUA